GUGCUUGCUUUGGCAGCAUAUAUUCUAAAAUUGGAAUGAUAGAGACAAAAUUAGCAUGGUCCCAACACAAAAGUAAGACACAAAUUUGUGAAGCAUUCCAUAUGGGG
This 107-nucleotide small nuclear RNA is filed under the name Notamacropus eugenii (tammar wallaby). The record is from RNAcentral. Lineage: Eukaryota; Metazoa; Chordata; Mammalia; Diprotodontia; Macropodidae.